AUUGAACGCUGGCGGCAUGCUUUACACAUGCAAGUCGAACGGUAACAGGUCUUCGGAUGCUGACGAGUGGCGAACGGGUGAGUAAUGUAUCGGAACGUGCCCAGUAGUGGGGGAUAACUACUCGAAAGAGUGGCUAAUACCGCAUGAGAACUGAGGUUGAAAGCGGGGGACCUUCGGGCCUCGCGCUACUGGAGCGGCCGAUAUCAGAUUAGGUAGUUGGUGGGGUAAAGGCCUACCAAGCCGACGAUCUGUAGCUGGUCUGAGAGGACGACCAGCCACACUGGGACUGAGACACGGCCCAGACUCCUACGGGAGGCAGCAGUGGGGAAUAUUGGACAAUGGGCGCAAGCCUGAUCCAGCAAUGCCGCGUGUGUGAAGAAGGCCUGCGGGUUGUAAAGCACUUUCAGU
This 408-nucleotide ribosomal RNA is filed under the name uncultured bacterium. RNAcentral describes it as "bacterial SSU rRNA". It matches the Rfam family "Bacterial small subunit ribosomal RNA", at positions 30 to 440 of the family's 1533-position model. The record is from RNAcentral.